Molecule: ribosomal RNA, 428 nt
Filed under: Bacteroidota bacterium
Lineage: Bacteria; Pseudomonadati; Bacteroidota
Description: Bacteroidetes bacterium partial 16S ribosomal RNA
Rfam family: Bacterial small subunit ribosomal RNA
Source: RNAcentral
UAGGGAAUCUUCCGCAAUGGACGCAAGUCUGACGGAGCAACGCCGCGUGAGUGAAGAAGGAUUUCGGUUCGUAAAACUCUGUUGUUAGAGAAGAACAGCGCAUAGAGUAACUGUUAUGCGUGUGACGGUAUCUAACCAGAAAGCCACGGCUAACUACGUGCCAGCAGCCGCGGUAAUAUGUAGGUGGCAAGCGUUGUCCGGAUUUAUUGGGCGUAAAGCGAGCGCAGGCGGUCAAUUAAGUCUGAAGUUAAAGGCAGUGGCUCAACCAUUGUAGGCUUUGGAAACUGUUUAACUUGAGUGCAGAAGGGGAGAGUGGAAUUCCAUGUGUAGCGGUGAAAUGCGUAGAUAUAUGGAGGAACACCGGUGGCGAAAGCGGCUCUCUGGUCUGUAACUGACGCUGAGGCUCGAAAGCGUGGGGAGCGAACAGG